UUCAUCCGAUCCAGGAUAUAUAUGUCUCUCUACCUACAACGUUUCCUCGUCCCCUCCCUCCUCCUUCUCCAGCCCCAACAUCCCUUCCAGAGACCCUGCUACAGACCUCAGGAUCGUCAAGAGGUCGGAGUCUGCCUCUGGGACCCGAGGGACCAAAGCCAAGAAUAUCGGUCAUUCACUCAACAUCAAGAAGUUAAGCAGGGGUCCUUGCGACCACACUUACUUGAGAGUCAGAAGGAGGAAAAGAUGGAGAGGAACUCCAGGAUCCUCAGGCCAUUUCAGCGGGAGCAGCAGGGGGAGCUUCCCUGAUGCCAACCAGCUCAUAAUUCCCUCCCUGGUAGCAUCACUUCAAGGCCUUCCUGCUUAUUUCCCUUGGCUCCUCGGAUUUGUGGAUUGACGCCUAAGAGAUUUACUGGUAAAUGCCUCCUUUGUGCUGUGCAGACACGAGUUUCUGACAUGUCACAGGAAACGCUGAAGAAGUCACUCUUCGGGGUGUGUUUUCCUCCAGGAGGCGGUGUGAGAUGGA
This is a long non-coding RNA of Peromyscus californicus insignis, 526 nucleotides long. RefSeq lists it as uncharacterized. The transcript has 4 exons. The record is from RefSeq and is a predicted model, not a curated record. NCBI's taxonomy places the organism in Eukaryota, Metazoa, Chordata, Mammalia, Rodentia, Cricetidae.